AGAUCAUCAUUGGGUUUAAAGCGUGCGCAGGCGGUUUUGUAAGACAGAGGUGAAAUCCCCGGGCUCAACCUGGGAACUGCCUUUGUGACUGCAAGGCUGGAGUGCGGCAGAGGGGGAUGGAAUUCCGCGUGUAGCAGUGAAAUGCGUAGAUAUGCGGAGGAACACCGAUGGCGAAGGCAAUCCCCUGGGCCUGCACUGACGCUCAUGCACGAAAGCGUGGGGAGCAAACA
RNAcentral lists this ribosomal RNA (230 nucleotides) under uncultured Alicycliphilus sp. Its description in RNAcentral is "partial 16S ribosomal RNA". It matches the Rfam family "Bacterial small subunit ribosomal RNA", at positions 550 to 774 of the family's 1533-position model. The record is from RNAcentral. Lineage: Bacteria; Pseudomonadati; Pseudomonadota; Betaproteobacteria; Burkholderiales; Comamonadaceae.